UACAUGGGGUGCAAACGUUGCUCGGAAUUAUUGGGCGUAAAGCGCGCGUAGGCGGUUACUCAAGUCGGAUGUGAAAGCCCUCGGCUUAACUGAGGAAGUGCACCCGAAACUGAGUAGCUAGAGUACUAAAGAGGGUCGCGGAAUUCCCGGUGUAGAGGUGAAAUUCGUAGAUGUCGGGAGGAACACCGGUGGCGAAGGCGGCGACCUGGGUAGAUACUGACGCUGAGGCGCGAAAGCGUGGGGAGCAAACAGG
RNAcentral lists this ribosomal RNA (253 nucleotides) under uncultured bacterium. Its description in RNAcentral is "partial 16S ribosomal RNA". It matches the Rfam family "Bacterial small subunit ribosomal RNA", at positions 524 to 776 of the family's 1533-position model. The record is from RNAcentral.